CUUCAGAAAUCCUGCGUGCGGACCGAUUUCCGUACAUGCGCACUCGACGCCGCAGUGCCCACUAGACGUCUAGGUAGCGGCGAGGCUGGUUGGCGAGCGACUGGUGGUAGGGACAGAUGUUGGAGACAGAGUGCAUCACUCAGAAGACAGGUACCACCUCUAGUUUCCUUCUGCCACAAUCAUGCAGGCGUUUGAUGUGGAUCAAGGGCCACAGUUUGGUGAAAUGCCAUCUCGAUGAAGGGGAGGAGGGCAGAUGCCAGUUUCCUGGCAGGAAAACAAUCAAAUGAAUGGCGAAAGACCCAAGGCAUUCCCUUGGAGAUACUGAGGGUUUGGUACCAGACUACUGCAAUAAACCGGUGAGGCUGUUUGAUGGCAUUUUACCCCCAGUAGAACUUCUUCCACAACUGGAGUCAGUCCUCUCCAACCCUGCCGCUGCCUUCUCCACUCACUUCAGGAGAGAUCCUAAAUCCAUUCAUGUUCCAUUCAUGUCAUUUUACCAGUCGUCACCAGGAGCAGAUGCCACCCCAAGAAACCAUUUUUUCUGCUCAUCCAUAAGAAGCAAACCUCAUCUAGUCCAGUUACUUCCUCCACUGAAGUCCUGACCCCUCAAAGUCAUCCACGUCUUCCAGUGUCCUGUUCAUGUUCAUAUUCUGACGUCUUCCAUGAAUCACCAGUGUACUUUAAGGACAUCCUAGAAUGCUCAAGAUUGCUGACUGUAACACAAGAGUGUAAAAGAACAUUUUCACCUCUGGUUAAAUGUUCCAACAGUAAGUAAUCCAGGUAGCUAAUGAUAGACAGUUCUACAAAGAACUGCCCACGGCAAAAUCCAAUGCCAGCUCCCCAGACGUAUACCACGGUACUUCCCUUAAACCUAGACGCUCCUGAAAUAGGAGGCAGUUGCUAGAGGCAGCGUGAUCAUUCAUCUUCAAACUCUCUCUCAGGACGUGCCAAGGGUCUAGAACACCCAGGUAAGAGAACCAGGUGAAUGUUUAUUUCCCGAUACCAGAGUCCAUCUGUGUCACCAGGAGCAUUAUUGACUUGAGUGUCAAGUAUCUGCACAUGGACCUGCUGACAGGAAGGUCUAGGACCCUGGCCAGCUGCCAGCCAUAAAACUCCAUUAGCACAGCUUAGGGAAGUCUCAGUUCAAGGACUUCCAAGGCCAUCACUCAGCUGGUGUGGGCUGCCGCCUCCUGUCCAGACCACAGUUAAAGCACGCAGAGCUGACGUAUGAUGGCAGAACAAACCUCAGGGCUCCAAGACAUGUGAUCAGGGGCAAUUAAGGCAGCUCUCUUCUCAGCUUGGGAGUGGAAGGAAAGGAGUAUGUCCUUGGUCUGUACUAUGGGCUGAUGACAUUUCUGCAUAACACUCUACAGCAGUCACAUCUCUGGUCUACAAAUGACCACACUGAGGCCUAGUGAUGGUUAAUUUAUGUGUCAACCUGGCAAGGCAUGGUCCCUGGUUUGGUCAAACACCCAUCAAGAUGUCACUGUGAAGGAAUUUUUAGAUGUGAUUAAUAUUUAACUCAGUAGACUUUGAAUAAAGCAGAUGACCCUCCCUAACGUGGAUGUCCUUGAAACUGCAAUAGCAACUCUUCCGGGGAUCUCCAGCCUACAACCGGCCCUGUAGACUUCAGACUUACUAGCCCUCCACAAGCGUAUGAACCAAUUUCCUAAAGUAAAUCUAUCUUAUCUAUAGUCACAUCCUAGGCAGACACCUGUGACUCAGCAUGGAGAAGCACCUACUAUUGAGCCCACAAGCCCAGAUAUGGUUACCUUUUUGCGUGGCCGAAGCUUGUCCCGCCAUUCCUUCAGGUUCUGAUUAUGGCUCUCAUCUAAGGCCUUCAGCUUCUGGGUUUCAUGUUCUACCAGGAGGUGACACUUUUCAUUCUGGAACAAAUUCCAGGUAGAACAGGAGAGAUCUGUGUAAAGAUGAGGACACAGACCUGACAGACACUCCCAACCUUCUUAUUCUCUCUCUGAGCCACAGGCACGGCACUGGCGUCAGAUGAAGACUUCAUGCCCUGAGAGACACGGAGCGGGCUGUGCUCAACCCAUGUGAAUGUUCAUUUCACUGCAUUCCUGAUCUACGGAAACUGGAUGGAGGAGGACCUAGCAGCUCCUGGCACAGCCCACUCUCUGACACCCACCUCGAAGGAGCUCCUGCUUCCUAGUGAGACACUCGCGCUCCUUGUCACAGAUCUCCCGCCUGUUGUCCGCGGUGAUCUUCUUCAUGGCCAGCUCCAGGUCCUCCUUCUGCUUGGCCAGGAAGUCCCGGUCCUGGACAGGAGAGAGGAGGACAGGCCUUUAGCACCGGGUCCAGCGUCUCAACAUCCACCUUUAUUACAGAAGCAAAGUCCUCAUGAUCAGCGAAGAAAACAUACGCAGGAGAAAUCAGACUUAGAGACACAUCAACCAAUUGUAGCACAUGCGCUUUACAUGGACCGUGAUUCAAACAACAGGUUAAAAAGACUAAACAUUCAUGAGACAAAUGGAAAUGUGAAUAAUGACCAACUGCAUAUAUGAGGUCCAAGCAGUUCCUAAUAAAUAAAUUCUUAGGUGACGUUA
This is a long non-coding RNA of Suricata suricatta (meerkat), 2564 nucleotides long. RefSeq lists it as uncharacterized. The record is from RefSeq and is a predicted model, not a curated record. The transcript has 9 exons. NCBI's taxonomy places the organism in Eukaryota, Metazoa, Chordata, Mammalia, Carnivora, Herpestidae.